RNAcentral lists this unclassified non-coding RNA (363 nucleotides) under uncultured Chloroflexota bacterium. RNAcentral's name for it is "uncultured Chloroflexi bacterium contains 16S-23S intergenic spacer region". The record is from RNAcentral. Lineage: Bacteria; Bacillati; Chloroflexota.
UCCCGGUUGCUCCGGGCAGUCUCGUCAGAGAAGUACAACUGACGACAGGGGUUGCGCUCGUUGCGGGACUUAACCCAACACCUCACGGCACGAGCUGACGACGGCCAUGCAGCAUCUGUGAUGAGACCCCGAAAGGAGACCGGCUUUCACCGGCUGUCCUCACCAUGUCAAGCCCUGGUAAGGUUCUUCGCGUCGCUUCGAAUUAAACCGCACGCUCCGCUGCUUGUGCGGGCCCCCGUCAAUUCCUUUGGGUUUUAGCCUUGCGGCCGUAGUCCCCAGGCGGAGUACUUAUCGCGUUAGCUUCGUUACCGAGGGGGUCGAUACCCCCGACAACUAGUACUCAUCGUUUACGGCGUGGACUAC